AUACGUAGGGGGCGAGCGUUGUCCGGAAUGACUGGGCGUAAAGGGCGUGUAGGCGGCGGUGUAAGUCUGGAGUGAAAGUCCCGCAUUCAAUGUGGGAAUUGCUUUGGAUACUGCAGUGCUAGAGUGCGGAAGAGGUAAGUGGAAUUCCCAGUGUAGCGGUGAAAUGCGUAGAGAUUGGGAGGAACACCAGUGGCGAAGGCGGCUUACUGGGCCGUAACUGACGCUGAGGCGCGAAAGCGUGGGGAGCGAACGGGAUUAGAUACCCUGGUAGUCCACGCAGUAAACGAUGACAACUAACCGCUGGGUCGUAGUGAUUCAGUGGCCAAGCGAAAGCGAUAAGUUAUCCACCUGGGGAGUACGACCGCAAGGUUGAAACUCAAAUGAAUUGACGGGG
RNAcentral lists this ribosomal RNA (394 nucleotides) under uncultured bacterium. Its description in RNAcentral is "partial 16S ribosomal RNA". It matches the Rfam family "Bacterial small subunit ribosomal RNA", at positions 523 to 918 of the family's 1533-position model. The record is from RNAcentral.